GAUGAACGCUGGCGGCGUGCUUAACACAUGCAAGUCGAACGAAGCACUUUAUUUGAUUUCCUUCGGGACUGAUUAUUUUGUGACUGAGUGGCGGACGGGUGAGUAACGCGUGGGUAACCUGCCUUGUACAGGGGGAUAACAGUUGGAAACGGCUGCUAAUACCGCAUAAGCGCACGGCAUCGCAUGAUGCAGUGUGAAAAACUCCGGUGGUAUAAGAUGGACCCGCGUUGGAUUAGCUAGUUGGUGAGGUAACGGCCCACCAAGGCGACGAUCCAUAGCCGACCUGAGAGGGUGACCGGCCACAUUGGGACUGAGACACGGCCCAAACUCCUACGGGAGGCAGCAGUGGGGAAUAUUGCACAAUGGGCGAAAGCCUGAUGCAGCGACGCCGCGUGAGCGAAGAAGUAUUUCGGUAUGUAAAGCUCUAUCAGCAGGGAAGAUAAUGACGGUACCUGACUAAGAAGCACCGGCCAAAUACGUG
Molecule: ribosomal RNA, 481 nt
Filed under: uncultured bacterium
Lineage: Bacteria
Description: partial 16S ribosomal RNA
Rfam family: Bacterial small subunit ribosomal RNA
Source: RNAcentral